RNAcentral lists this ribosomal RNA (220 nucleotides) under uncultured Glomus. RNAcentral describes it as "partial small subunit ribosomal RNA". It matches the Rfam family "Eukaryotic small subunit ribosomal RNA", at positions 591 to 817 of the family's 1831-position model. Lineage: Eukaryota; Fungi; Glomeromycota; Glomeromycetes; Glomerales; Glomeraceae. The record is from RNAcentral.
CCAAUAGCGUAUAUUAAAGUUGUUGCAGUUAAAAAGCUCGUAGUUGAAUUUCGAGACCGGUCUACUGGUCGUGCUUUUGUACGUACUGGUUUUAUUGGUUUCUCCUUUCUGACGAACUAUAAUGCCAUUAAUUUGGUGUUAUAGGGAAUCAGGACUGUUACUUUGAAAAAAUUAGAGUGUUUAAAGCAGGCUCACGCUUGAAUACAUUAGCAUGGAAUAA